RNAcentral lists this ribosomal RNA (362 nucleotides) under uncultured bacterium. RNAcentral's name for it is "partial 16S ribosomal RNA". It matches the Rfam family "Bacterial small subunit ribosomal RNA", at positions 338 to 698 of the family's 1533-position model. The record is from RNAcentral.
CCUACGGGGGGCAGCAGUGAGGAAUAUUGGUCAAUGGGCGGGAGCCUGAACCAGCCAAGCCGCGUGAGGGAAGAAGGUACAGCGUAUCGUAAACCUCUUUUGUAAGGGAAUAAAGGCGGGGACUAGUCCCCGGCUGAGGGUACCUGAAGAAAAAGCAUCGGCUAACUCCGUGCCAGCAGCCGCGGUAAUACGGAGGAUGCGAGCGUUAUCCGGAUUUAUUGGGUUUAAAGGGUGCGCAGGUGGCCUGUUAAGUCAGCGGUAAAAGUCCGGGGCUCAACCCCGGCGAGGCGGUGAAACUGGCGAGCUGGAGGUGGAGAGAAGUACGCGGAAUGCGGGGGGUAGCGGUGAAAUGCUUAGAUAUC